CUUAGUUUUUCCACUGAUCAAGGGAAAACAAUCAAUUAUUUUAACAGCAGAACCUCGAUGACAGAACCACUAAAACAGACGUUUAGCUACUACUCUUCAUACAAUGGAA
This is a long non-coding RNA of Brassica oleracea var. oleracea, 109 nucleotides long. RefSeq lists it as uncharacterized. The record is from RefSeq and is a predicted model, not a curated record. Lineage: Eukaryota; Viridiplantae; Streptophyta; Magnoliopsida; Brassicales; Brassicaceae. The transcript has 2 exons.